RNAcentral lists this ribosomal RNA (791 nucleotides) under uncultured bacterium. Its description in RNAcentral is "bacterial SSU rRNA". It matches the Rfam family "Bacterial small subunit ribosomal RNA", at positions 8 to 796 of the family's 1533-position model. The record is from RNAcentral.
AGAGUUUGAUCCUGGCUCAGAUUGAACGCUGGCGGCAUGCUUUACACAUGCAAGUCGAGCGGCAGCGCGGGGGCAACCCUGGCGGCGAGCGGCGAACGGGUGAGUAAUACAUCGGAACGUGUCCCGUAGUGGGGGAUAGCCCGGCGAAAGCCGGAUUAAUACCGCAUAUGCUCUACGGAGGAAAGCGGGGGAUUCGCAAGAACCUCGCGCUAUGGGAGCGGCCGAUGUCCGAUUAGCUUGUUGGUGAGGUAAAGGCUUACCAAGGCGACGAUCGGUAGCUGGUCUGAGAGGAUGAUCAGCCACACUGGGACUGAGACACGGCCCAGACUCCUACGGGAGGCAGCAGUGGGGAAUUUUGGACAAUGGGGGAAACCCUGAUCCAGCCAUGCCGCGUGCGGGAAGAAGGCCUUCGGGUUGUAAACCGCUUUUGUCCGGGAAGAAAUGGCAUCCCCUAAUACGGGAUGUUCCUGACGGUACUGGAAGAAUAAGCACCGGCUAACUACGUGCCAGCAGCCGCGGUAAUACGUAGGGUGCGAGCGUUAAUCGGAAUUACUGGGCGUAAAGCGUGCGCAGGCGGUUCGUCAAGUCUGAUGUGAAAGCCCCGGGCUCAACCUGGGAAUGGCAUUGGAAACUAGCGAGCUUGAGUGUGGCGAGGGGGGUGGAAUUCCACGUGUAGCGUGAAAUGCGUAGAGAUGUGGAGGAACACCGAUGGCGAAGGCAGCCCCCUGGGCUAACACUGACGCUCAUGCACGAAAGCGUGGGGACAACAGGAUUAGAUACCCUAGUAGUCC